This 497-nucleotide ribosomal RNA is filed under the name uncultured bacterium. RNAcentral describes it as "partial 16S ribosomal RNA". It matches the Rfam family "Bacterial small subunit ribosomal RNA", at positions 28 to 507 of the family's 1533-position model. The record is from RNAcentral.
GAUGAACGCUGGCGGCGUGCCUAAUACAUGCAAGUCGAGCGAACAGACGAGGAGCUUGCUCCUCUGACGUUAGCGGCGGACGGGUGAGUAACACGUGGAUAACCUACCUAUAAGACUGGGAUAACUUCGGGAAACCGGAGCUAAUACCGGAUAAUAUAUUGAACCGCAUGGUUCAAUAGUGAAAGACGGUCUUGCUGUCACUUAUAGAUGGAUCCGCGCCGCAUUAGCUAGUUGGUAAGGUAACGGCUUACCAAGGCGACGAUGCGUAGCCGACCUGAGAGGGUGAUAGGCCACAAUGGAACUGAGAAAGGGUCCAGACACCUACGGGAGGCAGCAGUAGGGAAUCUUACGCAAUGGGCGAAAGCCUGACGGAGCAACGCCGCGGGAGUGAUGAAGGUCUUCGGAUCGUAAAACUCUGUUAUUAGGGAAGAACAAAUGUGUAAGUAACUAUGCACGUCUUGACGGUACCUAAUCAGAAAGCCACGGCUAACUACGUG